ACACAGCAAAAUCACCAGUGUUAAAUUUUCAGGGAUGGUGUUAAAUACACAGUGUUGAUGCUGUUUUAACACUAUCUGGUAAUAAAAUAACACUGCCAUUGCUAGGCCAGUGUUAUAUUCACGACAGUGUCAGUGUAAAACAAGGGUGUUAUCAGAUUUCACUCUGAGCGGUGUAAAUCAAGCUACGCCUCCACUAAACAUAUCCUGUCAGGGAUUUUACCGCCAUUUUCUUUCACAGGAGGACUGAAGAGAUCAGAUGCUAGUUUGGUGAAAGUACACACUGAGUGCUUCAAAUCAUUCAGAAGAGAUGCUGUUUUUAGGGCAGUUUAUUAAAGAAGACCUGACAUGGAUGACUUCCAAUGAGAAACGACUGCUAAUACUUAUAUAAAUUCAUUACAGAAGGACCCUAACAGACUAUAUUUGAAUACGGCAUACCCAUGAAUUCUGGAACUGUUAUUCCUUAACCCAGUUUGGAGGAUAAGAGCUUACCAACUAGUUAUAAAUAUGCUGAGGUGAUGUAUUGCAAAAUAGCCAACAUGCAACAAUAUGGAUGACCCUCUGUCUGGUCAACAGGAGUUUAAAUAUGGACGGGACAGUGAUGUGGCAGCUCUUCCCUGGCUCAUUCACCUCUUGCCUUUCAUUUGUGAAAGGAAGAAAGAAGAAAGACUGGAGAGGGUCAAUGUGCAACUGAAGCUACUGAUUGUGCUAUGUGAUGAGCAUCAAUCCAUGCUUUGAGGGGAAUGAAUCAGCACAGCCCUGCCUGCACUGCGUUGGGAACAGAAGUUGCAUCCAGAAUUUUUGCAUCAUUCUGGACCAAAAAGCCAUUCCCUCCAUGAUGAAGACCACUGAUGCAGCCUUCCACUACAUCAUGAGUAAAACAACUACAGAACUAAAUACCAGGUUGGAACGUAUUUAAGAAAAAUGAAACGUCUUUUGAAUUGAAAUGUCUGUUUUGUUAUGGAAAAAUCUUUAGUAUUGUGAAGGAUAAGCAUUUCUGCCUGCCAGUAAGGUAAUUGCAGUCUAUUUUAAUGUACAAGUUUUGAGUAGGGUGGCUAAUUUUUUUUAAACUCUCAUUUGAUAUAUUAAAGAAAGACCUUAUAAUAAGUGGUUUUCAUGUCACUGCGCUGUGGUAUAAGAUAACUUUCAUUAUUCCAUACUGUAUUCUGUAUUCUAAUUGUAGCUGAGGUAUUUAAAUAAGCAGUAUUAAAUGCAAAGUGUUGUGUGUAUCAAUGUAAAUAUUAAAUGUGAUGUACUUUAAUAAAAAGAGGUUUUGCAA
Paramisgurnus dabryanus is the source of this 1276-nucleotide long non-coding RNA. RefSeq lists it as uncharacterized. The record is from RefSeq and is a predicted model, not a curated record. Lineage: Eukaryota; Metazoa; Chordata; Actinopteri; Cypriniformes; Cobitidae.